CAACAGCAGAUGUUGAUGCCCUAGAAGCACGGUGCGGAGCACAUCCUGGGAUCAAGGUGCCACGGACUGGAAAAUGCUGCUGUGGCGGAGUUCCUGUGUGAAGACAAAACUCCCAGUCCCCCAGAAAAGUGGAGGCAGAAGAGCAGUGACAAGGCAUUGUGUUUAACUUAAAAAACUUAAAAAAUGAACGGACGAAGAAUAGCUUUGUUUGCAUUCUGGUGACUGCUGAGGCUUUGGCUGACGACAGCUUUCAGCUGCACCUGAACUAGGCUGGAUUUGUCUCCUGCUCUCCAUAGG
RNAcentral lists this long non-coding RNA (297 nucleotides) under Gallus gallus (chicken). The record is from RNAcentral. Lineage: Eukaryota; Metazoa; Chordata; Aves; Galliformes; Phasianidae.